GACGAACGCUGGCGGCGUGCCUAAUACAUGCAAGUAGAACGCUGAAGGAGGAGCUUGCUUCUCUGGAUGAGUUGCGAACGGGUGAGUAACGCGUAGGUAACCUGCCUGGUAGCGGGGGAUAACUAUUGGAAACGAUAGCUAAUACCGCAUAAGAGUAGAUGUUGCAUGACAUUUGCUUAAAAGGUGCAAUUGCAUCACUACCAGAUGGACCUGCGUUGUAUUAGCUAGUUGGUGGGGUAACGGCUCACCAAGGCGACGAUACAUAGCCGACCUGAGGGGGUGAUCGGCCACACUGGGACUGAGACACGGCCCAGACUCCUACGGGAGGCAGCAGUAGGGAAUCUUCGGCAAUGGACGGAAGUCUGACCGAGCAACGCCGCGUGAGUGAAGAAGGUUUUCGGAUCGUAAAGCUCUGUUGUAAGAGAAGAACGAGUGUGAGAGUGGAAAGUUCACACUGUGACGGUAUCUUACCAGAAAGGGACGGCUAACUACGUG
RNAcentral lists this ribosomal RNA (495 nucleotides) under uncultured bacterium. RNAcentral's name for it is "partial 16S ribosomal RNA". It matches the Rfam family "Bacterial small subunit ribosomal RNA", at positions 28 to 507 of the family's 1533-position model. The record is from RNAcentral.